GUCCAGCGGCGGGAAUCGAACCCACAACGUUCCGCUUACCGGGCAGAUGCCAUGACCACUAGGCUACCCUGGA
RNAcentral lists this transfer RNA (73 nucleotides) under Cordylochernes scorpioides. RNAcentral describes it as "tRNA-Thr". Lineage: Eukaryota; Metazoa; Arthropoda; Arachnida; Pseudoscorpiones; Chernetidae. The record is from RNAcentral.